UACGUAGGAUGCAAGCGUUGUCCGGAUUUAUUGGGCGUAAAGAGCUCGUAGGCGGCUUGUCACGUCGGGUGUGAAAGCCCGGGGCUUAACCCCGGGUCUGCAUUCGAUACGGGCUAGCUAGAGUGUGGUAGGGGAGAUCGGAAUUCCUGGUGUAGCGGUGAAAUGCGCAGAUAUCAGGAGGAACACCGGUGGCGAAGGCGGAUCUCUGGGCCAUUACUGACGCUGAGGAGCGAAAGCGUGGGGAGCGAACAGG
This 253-nucleotide ribosomal RNA is filed under the name uncultured bacterium. Its description in RNAcentral is "partial 16S ribosomal RNA". It matches the Rfam family "Bacterial small subunit ribosomal RNA", at positions 524 to 776 of the family's 1533-position model. The record is from RNAcentral.